AAGUCGUAACAAGGUUUCCGUAGGUGAACCUGCGGAAGGAUCAUUAUCACGUAUCCACGUACUAACUCCCGUGAACAUCCCUCCUGGGUCGUGGUUGGGUGGCGAAGACAUUAUCCUUUUGCAUCGUGAUUUAGGGACGUAGUCUUCGUCUGGCUUCGAUGCCGAGCCCCCGAUCCUUGAGAGUUAUUUUUUCUUAAACCACGAUAUUUUAACCCUUUUAUUAACAACUUGUACCAAUCGAACUGAUCAUGUUUCCUGCCUCUUUCGUCCGCAAGGACUGAGAGCUCGAAAUAAGUUACGAAACGCAAAACAACUCUUAGCAACGGAUAUCUUGGUUCCCAU
RNAcentral lists this unclassified non-coding RNA (342 nucleotides) under fungal sp. Its description in RNAcentral is "partial internal transcribed spacer region". The stretch from base 1 to 46 matches the Rfam family "Eukaryotic small subunit ribosomal RNA", at positions 1786 to 1831 of the family's 1831-position model. The record is from RNAcentral. Lineage: Eukaryota; Fungi.